CUCUUUCUCUGGUGCGCGCAUACAAAGACAUUGAGGAAGGAUUCAGGGAAGGGCUGAAAUGGUUCAGCGACUCACUUACCGGAAGAGGCACAGCUAUGCCACCAAAUCUAAUCAACACCGCAUUGUUAAGACUCCUGGCGGGAAAUUGGUGUAUCAGACCACAAAGAAGAGAGCAAGUGGGCCUAAGUGUCCCGUCACUGG
RNAcentral lists this unclassified non-coding RNA (201 nucleotides) under Hevea brasiliensis (rubber tree). The record is from RNAcentral. Lineage: Eukaryota; Viridiplantae; Streptophyta; Magnoliopsida; Malpighiales; Euphorbiaceae.